UUUGUAGACGGUAAAUUUCUAUUAAAGGUGAAAUAUGUAAGCUUAACUUUCAUAAGCCUUUAUAUUUGAUUUACUUGAGUUAGAGAGAGGGUAGCAGAAUUUUUCAAGUAGGGGUUAAAUCCAAAAAGAUGAAAAAGAAUACCAGAAGCGAAGGCGGUUAUCUGGCUCUAUACUGACGUUGAGGAACUAAAGCGUGGGGAGCAAACA
This 207-nucleotide ribosomal RNA is filed under the name uncultured Rickettsiales bacterium. Its description in RNAcentral is "partial 16S ribosomal RNA". It matches the Rfam family "Bacterial small subunit ribosomal RNA", at positions 568 to 774 of the family's 1533-position model. Lineage: Bacteria; Pseudomonadati; Pseudomonadota; Alphaproteobacteria; Rickettsiales. The record is from RNAcentral.